Molecule: long non-coding RNA, 1019 nt
Organism: Oncorhynchus tshawytscha (Chinook salmon)
Lineage: Eukaryota; Metazoa; Chordata; Actinopteri; Salmoniformes; Salmonidae
Source: Ensembl
CUGCAGUGUACUGAAUCAGUCCUGAGCUCAGCCAGCUGCAGCUGACUCUAUACUGUCUGCAGUGCACUGAAUCAGUCCUGAGCUCAGCCAGCUGCAGCUGACUCCAUACUGUCUGCAGUGCACUGAAUCAGUCCUGAGCUCAGCCAGCUGCAGCUGACUCCAUACUGUCUGCAGUGCACUGAAUCAGUCCUGAGCUCAGCCAGCUACAGCUGACUCUAUACUGUCUGCAGUGCACUGAAUCAGUCCUGAGCUCAGCCAGCUGCAACUGACACUAUACUGUCUGCAGUGCACUGAAUCAGUCCUGAGCUCAGCCAGCUGCAACUGACUCUGUACUGUCUGCAGUGCACUGAAUCAGUCCUGAGCUCAGCCAGCUGCAGGUGACUCUAUACGGUCUGCAGUGUACUGAAUCAGUCCUGAGCUCAGCCAGCUGCAGCUGACUCUAUACUGUCUGCAGUGCACUGAAUCAGUCCUGAGCUCAGCCAGCUGCAGCUGACUCUAUACUGUCUGCAGUGCACUGAAUCAGUCCUGAGCUCAGCCAGCUGCAGCUGAGUCCAUACUGUCUGCAGUGCACUGAAUCAGUCCUGAGCUCAGCCAGCUGCAGCUGACUCCAUACUGUCUGAAUUGCACUGAAUCAGUCCUGAGCUCAGCCAGCUGCAGCUGACUCCAUACUGUCUGAAUUGCACUGAAUCAGUCCUGAGCUCAGCCAGCUGCAGCUGACUCCAUACUGUCUGAAUUGCACUGACUUAAAAAAAAAAAUAAAUAAAAAACUUAUAGAUGUAGGAUCUUGCAUGGAUGUUGCAGGGGAACUUUACUGCAAUGCAGGACUUUUUCAAAGUAUAGUGUAUUUGAGGUUUAAAAAGCUUCUGAUGUUUCUAAUUUCCACUUUGAAAUUUCAGACAUGAUUUUAUCUUAUGAUGAAAAAUGUAUCAACCCCUACAAAAAUGCUAAUUAAUUAUAAUCCACAUAAUAAUUCACAUUUCCUGUUGCUGAAGAAUUAAUUUCCUGUUGUAGAAAACUGG